AUGAUCCGAAGUACUCAAUGCAGGGUC
This 27-nucleotide small RNA is filed under the name Bombyx mori (domestic silkworm). RNAcentral describes it as "ovarian small RNA-12575". The record is from RNAcentral. Lineage: Eukaryota; Metazoa; Arthropoda; Insecta; Lepidoptera; Bombycidae.